RNAcentral lists this ribosomal RNA (890 nucleotides) under uncultured bacterium. Its description in RNAcentral is "bacterial SSU rRNA". It matches the Rfam family "Bacterial small subunit ribosomal RNA", at positions 92 to 983 of the family's 1533-position model. The record is from RNAcentral.
CGACCGGCGCACGGGUGAGUAACACGUAUGCAACCUGCCUCGUACAGGGGGAUAACCCGGAGAAAUUCGGACUAAUAUCCCAUAAUGAUAUUGAAAGGCAUCUUUUGAUAUUUAAAGCUCAGGCGGUACGGGAUGGGCAUGCGGGACAUUAGCUAGUUGGCAGGGUAACGGCCUACCAAGGCUGCGAUGUUUAGGGGACCUGAGAGGGUUAUCCCCCACACUGGUACUGAGACACGGACCAGACUCCUACGGGAGGCAGCAGUGAGGAAUAUUGGUCAAUGGGCGCAAGCCUGAACCAGCCAUCCCGCGUGAAGGAAGAAGGCGCUAUGCGUUGUAAACUUCUUUUCCAGGGGGGGAAUUUUUCCGUCGUGACGGGAAUUGACGGUACUCUGGGAAUAAGCAUCGGCUAACUCCGUGCCAGCAGCCGCGGUAAUACGGAGGAUGCGAGCGUUAUCCGGAUUUAUUGGGUUUAAAGGGUGCGUAGGCGGAUCAAUAAGUCAGUGGUGAAAUUCUGCAGCUUAACUGUAGACUUGCCAUUGAUACUGUUGGUCUUGAGUAUGGUCAAGGUAGGCGGAAUGUGUAAUGUAGCGGUGAAAUGCUUAGAUAUUACACAGAACACCGAUUGCGAAGGCAGCUUGCUGGGCCAAUACUGACGCUGAUGCACGAAAGCGUGGGGAUCGAACAGGAUUAGAUACCCUGGUAGUCCACGCCGUAAACGAUGAUCACUCGCUGUUAGCGAUAUACAGUUAGCGGCUAAGCAAAAGCAUUAAGUGAUCCACCUGGGGAGUACGGCCGCAAGGCUGAAACUCAAAGGAAUUGACGGGGGCCCGCACAAGCGGAGGAACAUGUGGUUUAAUUCGAUGAUACGCGAGGAACCUUACCUGGGCUAA